This 253-nucleotide ribosomal RNA is filed under the name uncultured bacterium. RNAcentral's name for it is "partial 16S ribosomal RNA". It matches the Rfam family "Bacterial small subunit ribosomal RNA", at positions 524 to 776 of the family's 1533-position model. The record is from RNAcentral.
UACGGAGGUGGCGAGCGUUGUCCGGAUUUACUGGGCGUAAAGAGCGCGCAGGCGGUCGGAUAAGUCGAAUGUGAAAGCCCCCGGCUCAACUGGGGAGGGUCAUUCGAUACUGUUCGACUCGAAGGCAGGAGAGGGAAGCGGAAUUCCCGGUGUAGUGGUGAAAUGCGUAGAUAUCGGGAGGAACACCAGUGGCGAAGGCGGCUUUCUGGCCUGCUCUUGACGCUGAGGCGCGAAAGCUAGGGGAGCGAACGGG